Long non-coding RNA from Toxotes jaculatrix (banded archerfish), 495 nucleotides. RefSeq lists it as uncharacterized. The record is from RefSeq and is a predicted model, not a curated record. The transcript has 3 exons. NCBI's taxonomy places the organism in Eukaryota, Metazoa, Chordata, Actinopteri, Toxotidae.
AGUUGAAUCGAGGGCAACUGGGAGGUCAGGACUGAAGAAGCCUGUUGGAUGAGAGGUGAAAUGUCUACAGCCGAGUCUAGAUGCCCUUGAUUGAACUCCUCUUGGAUGACUACGACCUGGACGACUGAGAAUCUUCACAGACGUGAGAGACCUUGGGUGUCACCAAACAACUCACUGUGCUGCCUGGCUGUUCACUAGACAUGGACAGGGCACGGAAGAGGAAAUGUUCAGACACACAAAUACAAGAGUGUACCUGAUGAACCGCAAGCCUGAGGGGGUGAAAUAAAACCAGUGAAUGGACUGGAGUACUUUGACCAGAACUCCACCUUGCUGCCCUUUGGAAAAGAGUCCACUUACUCACACCGCCAACAAUCAUCCAGUCAAUUAUUGACCGGAGAGAUGCACAGUAGUCACUCCAUCCGCAUGACCUGCCUGCCUGACGGGGGAACUUCAGAGGCUGCGGAAAUGAAUGCACGAUGGAUGGGUGGACAGAGG